UAGGGAAUAUUGGACAAUGGGCGAAAGCCUGAUCCAGCAAUACCGCGUGAGUGAAGAAGGCCUUAGGGUUGUAAAGCUCUUUCGGCGGGGAAGAUGAUGACGGUACCCGCAGAAGAAGCCCCGGCUAACUUCGUG
This 135-nucleotide ribosomal RNA is filed under the name uncultured bacterium. RNAcentral's name for it is "partial 16S ribosomal RNA". It matches the Rfam family "Bacterial small subunit ribosomal RNA", at positions 355 to 507 of the family's 1533-position model. The record is from RNAcentral.